UACGGCCAUAUCACGUCGAAACAACGGUUCUCAUACAAUCACCAAAGUUAAGCAAUGUCGAGCCUGAUCAGUUCCUAGAUAGGGGACCGCGUGAGUAUAACAGGUGCUGUA
Non-coding RNA from Acanthosepion pharaonis, 111 nucleotides. The record is from the annotation of a GenBank genome assembly. Lineage: Eukaryota; Metazoa; Mollusca; Cephalopoda; Sepiida; Sepiidae.